GACAGAGGUUGCAAACGUUGUUCGGAAUCACUGGGCAUAAAGCGCACGUAGGCGGUCUGUUAAGUCAGGUGUGAAAGCCCCCGGCUCAACCGGGGAACAGCAUUCGAUACUGGCAGACUCGAGGAUGGUAGGGGUGAGUGGAACUCCAGGUGGAGCGGUGAAAUGCGUAGAUAUCUGGAGGAACACCGGUGGCGAAAGCGGCUCACUGGACCAUUACUGACGCUGAGGUGCGAAAGCUAGGGUAGCAAAC
This 250-nucleotide ribosomal RNA is filed under the name uncultured bacterium. Its description in RNAcentral is "partial 16S ribosomal RNA". It matches the Rfam family "Bacterial small subunit ribosomal RNA", at positions 524 to 773 of the family's 1533-position model. The record is from RNAcentral.